UUUCCAUGUGCAUCACUAGCAUCACAAGAGCCAACACUGGCACCUACAACUGUGUGAAGUUCUGGAAAGGGGGCCCUGACAUGGAGCUUAAAUCUGGACCAGGCACUGAGUUGUCUGUGCAUAUGGAAGUUUAGGUUCCAAUGGGCCCCAUUUCAGAUGAGCAGAGCCUUGCAUGUGGGACAAUCUACGGUUCAUGAUUGCAACAGGAGAGUAUUGUUCCUAGAUCUGGACUCCAGGAUGGGAGAGCCCAGUAGGAGUGGCAGGUGAGGAGCUGCAGGUGAUUCAGCCUGAGGCAUUUGUGUCAGUUGCAGCUGGAGAGAUGGCCACUCUGAACUGCACUGUGACCUCCCUGCUCCCUGUGGGACCCAUCCAGUGGUUCAGAGGAGCUUGUCCAGGCCAGAAAUUAAUCUAUAGUCCAAAAAGAUGCCACUCUCCCCGGGUAACAACUAUUUCAGACCAGAGAAAGAGAAACAGCACAGACUAUUCCAUCCGCAUCAGUAGCAUCACCCUCGAAGAUGCUGGCACCUACUACUGUAUGAAGCUCCGGAGAGCAAUUCCUGCCAACGUGGAGAUUAAGUCUGGACCAGGGACUCAGAUGUCUGUGCGUGUCCGGGUGCCAGCUCCUACUGCCUCACUCCUCCUAGGUCUCCUCCUGGGCUCCAAGGUGCUGCUGCUGGUUGAUGUCUCUGCUGCCUAUGUCCACCGGAAGCAGAAGGCCUGACUCUCCUUUCCUCCUCCCCUGCCAUGUGGGACCCUCAGUCUGUGCUGCCUCCUUCCUUCCUUGAAGGGCUCAGCUGGAGAGAAGGAGCUGGCGAGAAGCUUCCCCAGACUCAGCUCCAAAUGCCUGUCCUCCCAGGACAUCUUCCUGCCCACAGGCUCCUGUUGCUCCUUUGCAGAGUCCUUGAUGCUCCAUAGCAGGGUCUUCAUUCAUGGUCCUGA
This is an RNA transcript of Homo sapiens (human), 939 nucleotides long. It is a transcript of the gene named signal regulatory protein beta 3, pseudogene, with no coding region annotated. The record is from RefSeq and is marked validated. The transcript has 5 exons. Lineage: Eukaryota; Metazoa; Chordata; Mammalia; Primates; Hominidae.